Molecule: ribosomal RNA, 450 nt
Filed under: uncultured bacterium
Lineage: Bacteria
Description: partial 16S ribosomal RNA
Rfam family: Bacterial small subunit ribosomal RNA
Source: RNAcentral
CCUACGGGUGGCAGCAGUAAGGAAUAUUGGUCAAUGGACGCAAGUCUGAACCAGCCAUGCCGCGUGGAGGAUGAAGGUCCUCUGGAUUGUAAACUUCUUUUAUUUGGGAAGAAACUCCCGAUUUCCAUCGGGAUUGACGGUACCAGAUGAAUAAGCACCGGCUAACUCCGUGCCAGCAGCCGCGGUAAUACGGAGGGUGCAAGCGUUAUCCGGAUUCACUGGGUCUAAAGGGUGCGUAGGUGGGCAGGUAGAAAUCUCCGGGCGUAACCCGGAGACUGCCAUUGAUACUAUUUGUGUUGAAUACUCUGAAGGUGAGCGGAAUAUGUCAUGUAGCGGUGAAAUGCUUAGAUAUGACAUAGAACACCCAUUGCGAAGGCAGCUCACUACGGAAAUAUAGACGCUGAGGCACGAAAGCGUGGGGAUCAAACAGGAUUAGAUACCCGGGUAGUC